GUGUCAGCCGCCGCGGUAAUACGUAGGCAGCGAGCGUUGUUCGGAGUUACUGGGCGUAAAGCGUGCGUAGGCGGUGGCCCAAGUCUGGUGUGAAAUCUCCCGGCUCAACCGGGAGGGUGCGCCGGAAACUGGGUCGCUCGAGUACUGGAGAGGCAAGCGGAAUUCCUGGUGUAGCGGUGAAAUGCGUAGAUAUCAGGAGGAACACCCGUGGUGUAGACGGCUUGCUGGACAGUCACUGACGCUGAGGCACGAAAGCGUGGGGAGCAAACAGGAUUAGAAACCCCCGUAGUCC
This 292-nucleotide ribosomal RNA is filed under the name uncultured bacterium. RNAcentral describes it as "partial 16S ribosomal RNA". It matches the Rfam family "Bacterial small subunit ribosomal RNA", at positions 505 to 796 of the family's 1533-position model. The record is from RNAcentral.